Lotus japonicus is the source of this 2024-nucleotide long non-coding RNA. RefSeq lists it as uncharacterized. The transcript is spliced from 3 exons. Lineage: Eukaryota; Viridiplantae; Streptophyta; Magnoliopsida; Fabales; Fabaceae. The record is from RefSeq and is a predicted model, not a curated record.
GAGGUUUCUUCUUUCUUCACCACAUUCUGAUUUCUCAACCCUUUGAUCUCAUCUCUCGUAAUUAAUCCCCGACCUCGCCUUGCAAUUAUAUUCUUCAAACGGUCCCCCUCAAACUCGCAGUUUUACGGUUUUGGCUUCCUCACUACAAGAGAAGAAGGAAAGCGUGUCUCCAUUGUAUCGCUCGCUCUGUUCCCCAAUUCGAGUCAUUGGGCAUCCUUCGCCUUCGAGGUCAGAUUUCUUCCUCCUUCUUUCAACUAUCAUGUUCUCUGCUUCUUCCAAUUCUAGAGAUCUGCUCAUUGCGCAAAGCAACCAUAUGCUUCCAGUGAUCGCUCAUGCCUUGGAUAAGCUAUUACGCUUUUAACUCUGUCCGGUGCUCCUGAUAUCUUUCUUUUUAUUUUUGGUUAAAUUUCUAGAGCACACCGAAGAAUUUACUUCAGUUAAUUUCUGGUUCCAGGCUUGCGGUAACUUUAGUGUAGUAUUGAAUUGAAGAUCUUAAACAUGCAAUCAGUUCUUUAUUUUUUUAAUUUAAUAUUGUAUCCAAAUCAUGUAUAUCUGUAUGUGUUUCUUCAAAUUGGUAAUGAUGAGAAACUAAGACCAUUAACACCCUUGUAUUUUUAAAACACUAAUUUUUCCUGAAUGACAAUUUACAAACACCAAAAUAAGGAACAAGAACAACCUGAAACAUAUUAGCGUAGAUUAAAGAAACAUUACAAUGAUGAGAAUCUAAAUACAUUUCAAAAUUAUUUCAUUUGUACUAAAUUACUCCAUUACUGACUCCCAUGUCAAGGGAGGACUUGAGGAAAUGGUUUCUUUCUAUAGAAUGUGUGAGCACUCUUCCGCGUUUUCUAACUGUUGAAGCUCAAGUGGAUGUCUAUAUGCUGCAUAUAUUUUCCAGUUCAAGUGAGGUUCUAAUUUAUCAUGUACUUUCAACCUUCCUUACAAUGGCUUAUUUGAACUCUAGAUGUUUUUACUGAUACAAUUUUUACUUAAUUAGUCAAGGGUCCAUUAGUAUUUUUAGAAAAGAGAAGGAUUGAUUAAAAAGAAACAGUCCAAGGGAAAAAACCUCUCCCAAGUGAGGAAUACAAGACAUAAAUAAAAGCAAGAGUGAACAUCAAAAGGAUCCAAAGACAAAAGACAUGGUACAAUAACAUGAUUGGGACAACAGUGGGAAACGAGAAACAACCAGCAACUACAGCAAAAUCACUAAAACCCAAACCAGAAGCACAAAGAAAUAAGCAGCAGCCAUAGAGCAAAACGAGACAGAUGUAACAGCCAAGAACAAACACAGGAAGAGCGCACCAGGACUGCAUAUUAGAGGUCGCUGGUUGAGCAUCAAGGGCCGUAAAGGGCCAGCAUUCCGGAAGAUACCAACUAGCCAACAAAACGACAACAAAGGCACAAAGCAGAGCAAAGCAAACAGCAAACAACAGCCUCAAAACAGAGGGGAAAAAGAAACUAAGAGCAGCAGCAGAAGACCAGGGGGAGUCAAGGGUCCAGAGUUAAGACCAUAAACAAGUUUGAUUGAUAGAGUUUGAUGAUUUUGCCCACCCGGAUGUGUUUGUGUGGAAUGCUAUUAUUAGGAGUUAUUCGAGGACCAAUAUGUUUAGGAACUCUAUUGAAACGUGAAGGGGUGAAUCUGGAUGGAAUAAAGAUCACAAGAGACAGCUUGGAUAUUUAGGUAUGUGGAUAUGGUUAUGACUUAUGAGUUAUGACCAUACCAAAGAGAACUUCGUUUCCCAGGUGUGGAAUGAAUGUGGCAUUCGAUCGUGAGCUGAUAGGACGAGCAAUGUACUUUGGUCUCAUGGCCCCAUGGGUGAUGGUCAGCCUAUUGGAUGCUACGAUGACAUGCAGGAUGGCGGGUGCUUACAGGUUCAUUUUUUGCUUUUCUUACAAAUUCUUUGCAUAGCAACUUAGUGUGCAGUUGUAUUUCAGUUGAACUUAAAGUUGAUCUACAUCAACUCAACGCUAUAAAAUCCUGCUUCUCUGUUUGUGUGUUAAGGGUGGUAUGUGAAAUCAUGUUUGGA